UUAACCCAUUAUUGAAAUCCAACCCUAUCUAUCCAAGCAAAAGCAAUUACACUUCAAACCAGUCAAAGCUCAAAAGAAUCAAAACAUUGUGCGCUCUCUUCCGCUAGGGUUCGUCCAUCCUCAACUUGAUCUCUUCCUUCUUCGGCUUUCAAGAGUCAACUAGGGUUCUUCAAUGGCAGAAAAUGAAAGUACGCAAAGUGAAGGUGGGGCUUCAAAUGAAAGCGUACCUAACACUUUAUGUCCAAGUCCAGUUGAAUCUGAAUCUGAAAUUGAAGCUUUAAAGAAAAGAAAAGUCAUGGAACCUAGAGCUGGUUGUUGGAAGCAUUUUGAAAGGAUAAUUAUCGAUGGAUCUCAUGGUAACUAUUGUGGCAAAACUUAUGUAACGACCCGUUUGGUCGUUAUAGUCUUCUCGGUACACCCAGAUGAGCUGAAGCUGUUAUAGAAGAUGUUCCGGCGGAGUUGGCAGGCUCCACUUGUUCCUGGAGUGCUGCCGAGUCAGAGUAUGUGUGCUACGAUGUCUGAUUAAUGUUAGAGACUUUGCAGACAGCGUCGUGGGUAUUGGUUGUCAGUUCUGUAAGCGGCUCCAUCAGCCGAUGUGUCAUUUUGUGUUAUGAUAUAAGUUCUACAUGAUUACAAAUUUUGUUUGGUUUGAGAACAAAGAAAAA
Molecule: long non-coding RNA, 665 nt
Organism: Lycium barbarum (goji berry)
Lineage: Eukaryota; Viridiplantae; Streptophyta; Magnoliopsida; Solanales; Solanaceae
Exons: 3
Source: RefSeq, a predicted model, not a curated record